GACGAACGCUGGCGGCAUGCUUAACACAUGCAAGUCGAACGAAAACUUCGGGCUUAGUGGCGCACGGGUGCGUAAACCGUGGGAACAUGCCCUUAGGUUCGGAAUAACUCCCCGAGAGAGGUCCUAAUAACUGAUACUAUCUCCGGACCAAAGCGUUGUCGCCUUUGGAUGGGCCCGCGUUGGAUUAGUUAGUUGGUAGGUUACAAGCCUACCAAGGCGACGAUCCGUAGCUGGUCUGCGAGGGGGAACAGGCAGACUGGGACUGAGACGCGGCCCAGACGCCUACGGGAGGCAGCAGUGGUGGAUAAUGGACAAUGGGCGAAAGCCUGAGCCAGCGAUGCCGCGUGAGUGAUGAAGGCCUUAUGGUUGUAAAGCUCUUGUACCCGAGAUGAUAAUGACAGUACCGGGAGAAUAAGCUCCGGCUAACUCCGUG
RNAcentral lists this ribosomal RNA (433 nucleotides) under uncultured bacterium. RNAcentral describes it as "partial 16S ribosomal RNA". It matches the Rfam family "Bacterial small subunit ribosomal RNA", at positions 28 to 507 of the family's 1533-position model. The record is from RNAcentral.